UACGGAGGGUGCAAGCGUUGUUCGGAAUUACUGGGCGUAAAGCGCACGUAGGCGGCUUUGUAAGUUAGAGGUGAAAGCCCGGGGCUCAACUCCGGAACUGCCUUUAAGACUGCAUCGCUUGAAUCCAGGAGAGGUGAGUGGAAUUCCGAGUGUAGAGGUGAAAUUCGUAGAUAUUCGGAAGAACACCAGUGGCGAAGGCGGCUCACUGGACUGGUAUUGACGCUGAGGUGCGAAAGCGUGGGGAGCAAACAGG
Molecule: ribosomal RNA, 253 nt
Filed under: uncultured bacterium
Lineage: Bacteria
Description: partial 16S ribosomal RNA
Rfam family: Bacterial small subunit ribosomal RNA
Source: RNAcentral